This 382-nucleotide ribosomal RNA is filed under the name uncultured eukaryote. Its description in RNAcentral is "partial 18S ribosomal RNA". It matches the Rfam family "Eukaryotic small subunit ribosomal RNA", at positions 592 to 976 of the family's 1831-position model. The record is from RNAcentral.
UGUAAGCGUAUACCAAAGUUGUUGCAGUUAAAACGCUCGUAGUCGGAAUUUGGCAGUUCCGGAAGUGUGCACGUCGUGUGCGCACUUUGCGGGGACUGCUUUUGUGGUCUUGCGUAGGAUGAGGCACUUUCAUUAGUGAACGUCCUCACGCAACCACUCUUUACUGUGAGAAAAUCAGAGUGCUCAAAGCAGGCAUUUGCCGUGAAUGUAUUAGCAUGGAAUAAUAGAAUAGGACUCGGUUCUAUUUUGUUGGUUUGUUGGGACUGAGUAAUGAUUAAGAGGGACAGUUGGGGGCAUUUGUAUUCCGGCGCUUGAGGUGAAAUUCUUAGAUUGCCGGAAGACAAACUGCUGCGAAAGCGUCUGCCAAGGAUGUUUUCAUUGA